This 449-nucleotide ribosomal RNA is filed under the name uncultured bacterium. RNAcentral's name for it is "partial 16S ribosomal RNA". It matches the Rfam family "Bacterial small subunit ribosomal RNA", at positions 30 to 523 of the family's 1533-position model. The record is from RNAcentral.
AUUGAACGCUGGCGGCAUGCCUAACACAUGCAAGUCGAACGAGACCUUCGGGUCUAGUGGCGCACGGGUGCGUAACGCGUGGGAAUCUACCCUUGGGUUCGAAAUAACAGUUAGAAAUGACUGCUAAUACCGGAUGAUGACGUAAGUCCAAAGAUUUAUCGCCCAAGGAUGAGCCCGCGUAAGAUUAGCUUGUUGGUGGGGUAAUGGCCUACCAAGGCGACGAUCUUUAGCUGGUCUGAGAGGAUGAUCAGCCACACUGGGACUGAGACACGGCCCAGACUCCUACGGGAGGCAGCAGUGGGGAAUAUUGGACAAUGGGCGAAAGCCUGAUCCAGCAAUGCCGCGUGAGUGAUGAAGGCCUUAGGGUUGUAAAGCUCUUUUACCAGGGAUGAUAAUGACAGUACCUGGAGAAUAAGCUCCGGCUAACUCCGUGCCAGCCGCCGCCGUAA